Molecule: long non-coding RNA, 535 nt
Organism: Alosa alosa (allis shad)
Lineage: Eukaryota; Metazoa; Chordata; Actinopteri; Clupeiformes; Clupeidae
Exons: 4
Source: RefSeq, a predicted model, not a curated record
UGCGCAAACCCCGGAAAAAGAUAUAAAGAAACGUGCAGCUUCUCAGUCGGGUGUCCUUGCGACAUAGCAAACAUGCCAACGUCUCCUGUGAAAACGCGGAUCCCUCUAACUAGUUUUGGACACCUGAUAUCCGAAGUGAAGAGACAGCUGUUUGGCAUAGAGGCUCCUGCAACGGUAGAUCUGACUGGAUGGAGGAGACACUUCAACACGUACACACUGCAGGGGCGACGGAACUUUGUUCUGGUGACAUAUGCUGCUCUGGCCCUGGGUGCUGCAGCUUACGCCGUGAACCGCCGAGACAAACAGACACAGGAAGUGGCAGAGAGUAUCACUUCCUCCCAGGCCUGAAGGACUCUACACACGUAGACACACACACAGUAGCACUUCCUCCCAGGCCUGAAGGACCCUACACUCGUACACACACACACUCACACACACACACACAGAGACUGUAAGUAUAGUUAUAUUAUUAAGUGACAGACCGCAGAACACUGGGAUGUAACUGUUUAUUAAAUUAAUAAAUAUCUCACCACUA